RNAcentral lists this long non-coding RNA (358 nucleotides) under Olea europaea (common olive). RNAcentral's name for it is "long non-coding RNA (OEUR_LNC004152)". The record is from RNAcentral. Lineage: Eukaryota; Viridiplantae; Streptophyta; Magnoliopsida; Lamiales; Oleaceae.
AGAGAAGACCCAAAACUAUAAAAGAAAAAGGAGAAAAAAAGAGAGAGAAGAAAAUCAACUUCCACCACCCUUGAUAGUAUUCCAUAUUUUUGCAUGAAGUGUCAAGCAAUGAUGAUGAAAAGAUAAUUCAUGCUACAACUGGUGCAAAAGCAAAGAGAAAUUUGGAAAAUGACUAGUCGUUCUCCUUUGUACAAGGUAGAGGAAAUUAGUUUGUAGUUAGUUUUUCUAUUUUGCUUCUACUGCGGUGUCCAACCGAGGUGUCCUUGUGUGUUGUAUAGUAGGAGGCAAAAGCAUGUGUAGCUAGUUGCUAGCCAGGAGUUUGUUAUUUCAUUUCGUGUAUAUAUGUUGCUCUACACUC